UCUGCUUAAAGGGGCCUUGUCACAUAUCUCUGCACUGAUCACCCAGGUGAUGUAACUCUUGUCUAGGCUCUGCUUACAGGGGGUAUUGUGACAUAUAUCUGCACUGAUCACCUAAGUGAUGUAACACUUGUGUAGGCUCUGCCUACAGGGGCAUUUUGACAUAUCUCUGCACUGUUAAACGAGGUGAUGUAACUCUUGUCUAGGCUGUGCCCACAGGGGGAUUGAGACAUAUCUCUGCACUGAUCCCGAGAUGAUCCAACUCUUACCUGGUCUCUGCCUACUGGGGACUUUGUGACAUAUCUCUGCACUUAUCUCCCAGGUGCUGUAACUUUAGUCUAGGCUCUGGCUAUACGGCAUUGUGACAUAUCACUGCACUGAUCACCCAGGUGAUAUAACUCUUCUCUAGGAUUUGCCUACAGGGUGCUUUGUGACAUAUCCCUGCAAUGAUCACCCAGGUGAUGUACCACUUGUCAAAGCUCUGCCUACAGGGACAUUGCGAUGUAUCUCUGCACUGAUCACCUAGGUCAUGUAACCGUUGUCUAGGCUCUGCCUACAGUGGCAUUGUGACAUAUCUCUGCACUGAUCAUCCAAGUGAUGUAACCUUUCUCUAGGAUCUGCCUAAAGGGAAUUUGUGACAUAACUCUGCACUGAUCAUCCAGGUGAUGGGGCUUUUAUCUAGGCUCUGCCUAAGGGGGCAUUGUGACAUAUUUCUGCACUGAUCACCCAGGUGAAGGACUCUUGUCUUCGAUCGGCCUAUAGGGGCAUUGUGACAUAUUUCUGCACUGAUCACCCAGGUGAUGGGACUCUUGUCUAGGCUCUGUGUAUGGGGACUUUGUGACAUAUCUCUGCAGUAAUCACCCAGGUGAUGUAACGCUUGACUAGGCUCUGCCUACGGGGCAUAGUGACAUAUCACUGCAUUGAUCACUGAGGUGAUGUAACUCUUGUCCGACUCUGCGUAUAGGGGGCCUUGUGACAUAUCUCUGCACUGAUCAUCUAGGUGAUGUAACUCUUGCUUACACUCUGCCUGCAGGGGCAUUGUGAAAUAUCUCUGCACUGAUCACGCAGGUGAUUGGACUCUUCUGUAGGCUCCGCCUCCUGAGGGCAUUGUCACAUAUUUCUGCAAUGAUCACCCAGGUGACGAACGCUUGUCUUGGAUUUGCCUAUGGGGACAUUGUGACAUAUCUCUGCAAUGAUCAUCCAGGUGAUGUAACUCUGGUCUAAGCUCUGCCUAAAGGGGCCUUGUGACAGAUCUCUGCAGUGAUCACUCAGGUGAUGUAACUAUUGUCGAGGGUCUGCUUAAAGGGGCCUUGUCACAUAUCUCUGCCCUGAUCACCCAGAUGAUGUAACUCUUGUCUAGGCUCUGCUUACAGGGGGCAAUGUGACAUAUCUCUGCAGUGAUCACCUAAGUGAUGUAACAGUUGUGUAGGU
RNAcentral lists this long non-coding RNA (1428 nucleotides) under Homo sapiens (human). RNAcentral's name for it is "HSALNT0288244". Lineage: Eukaryota; Metazoa; Chordata; Mammalia; Primates; Hominidae. The record is from RNAcentral.